UCUCUCCCGUCCCGCCUACUAUUUCGGGUUCGGGUGAGGGACCUCUGCAGGCCGAUUCCGAAAGUGCUUCGUCGCUCCAUCCCUCUCGCACGGAAGGGGCGUCCCGCAGGGGUGCGAGAGAGACAGAGCGACGCACACCGCUGUAGUUUGAAUCCGAACACUGCCGCUGCUCUUCCCACACCCCCAAGGGGCGCCCCAGGAGUACGAGAGAGAGGCAGCGACAAACCACCUCUUCGGAAUCAGUCUGCCGGGAGGUGCCGGGUCGGGCGGGCAGGAGCGAGUGCCUCCAGCUAGCGCCACGCCACUGCCACGCCACGCACGACCCGCACAAACAAAACACAGCAGUCGGGCCCCAACCGCCAACCUUGGAGGGGGCUACGCCAGGCUACGCCGGACGCGCGACGCCUGGACGGGACGGGACGGCCCGCCAUAACCUAUCGCAACGAGUGUGACGCUCUUGCCGGCGGCAGCGCGCGCGUCAAGGCCAAGUUCACCAAGUCCACCAAGUCCGCCAUGAGCGAUUGCGACUGCGGGUCCUGCGACUGCGGCGACUGCGACUGCGGAACCUGCGGCGAUUGCGGUGAUUGCACCGGUUGCUGCGAUUGCGCCGGUUGCGCUGAUUGCACGUGUUUCGGCGCCGACACCGGCAGCGCCGCCGACACCCCGGCCAGCGAGGGGAACUGCUGCACCUCCCUGUUUGCCUGCUCCUUCGCGGAGUGCGUCGAUGCGUCGUGUGAGAGCACGUACUGCCUCUGUUCUUCCGACAGCGACCGGACCAAGAGAAAAGGUGAAGAAAGAGGAGGAGUGGAAGGGGGAGGGGACGCGGCAGAAGAUCUGCUCGAGCAGUCCGAGGUGCAGCGCAUGCAGCCGGCGAGGACGGACCUACCUUACGCCUUCCCUCCAGCACGCAGGGAGGACUUGUACGCCGUGACGGACAAUUCGAUGGCCGAAGGUCAAGCAUCCCGUGUGUAGGGGCAGCCAUAGGCAGCCAUAGGCGGCCACGCAGCACUACAAUGAAACUUUAAGGCCGCUCUGAGGCCCCGGCUGUCGAAUGGGUUGCCUACGCUGUCGGCGGCCCCGUCCUGGUGCGCAGUGGACUCCGUGUUCGCGUGGCGUGCAUUCACUUUCAAAGGGGCUUUUGGUGGUAAAAUAUUUAUUUACUUUAAUAUCUUUAUAAAUACACAUAGAAAAAUACAAAUUCAGCUUAAAACUAUUACGUGAUUUACAUCACUAGAAUAGACGUUGAUUUUCGUCCAUACGGUUGUUUUUUUCGAGCAAUUUCAUUGUCCAGUGAAGUGUCCAAUUCAGAUUCACCUAAAGUUCGGCCAAUUAUUGUAUCCAAAACUCCUUGAAAUUUCUACGAAUUUAUCUGAUGCGAAUGGCAAAUUCUUCGACAAUAAGCUAGUAACAAUAAAUUUAUGUUUCUCUGUGUCAUCCCAGACACCCAGAUAGUCUAUUUUUGCCCGUAGUUGUUCUCUCCCCCCUGAAAACUCAGCCAUACAAUAAAUACGAAGUUGAA
Thrips palmi is the source of this 1519-nucleotide long non-coding RNA. RefSeq lists it as uncharacterized. Lineage: Eukaryota; Metazoa; Arthropoda; Insecta; Thysanoptera; Thripidae. The record is from RefSeq and is a predicted model, not a curated record. The transcript is spliced from 2 exons.